RNAcentral lists this ribosomal RNA (253 nucleotides) under uncultured bacterium. RNAcentral describes it as "partial 16S ribosomal RNA". It matches the Rfam family "Bacterial small subunit ribosomal RNA", at positions 524 to 776 of the family's 1533-position model. The record is from RNAcentral.
UACAGAGGGUGCAAGCGUUGUUCGGAAUUAUUGGGCGUAAAGCGCGUGUAGGCGGCCUUGCAAGUCGGGUGUGAAAUCCCUCAGCUUAACUGAGGAAGUGCGCCCGAAACUGCAGAGCUUGAGUGCCGGAGAGGGUGGCGGAAUUCCCCAAGUAGAGGUGAAAUUCGUAGAUAUGGGGAGGAACACCGGUGGCGAAGGCGGCCACCUGGCCGGUAACUGACGCUGAGACGCGAAAGCAUGGGGAGCAAACAGG